AUUGAACGCUGGCGGCAGGCCUAACACAUGCAAGUCGAGCGGAUGAAGGGAGCUUGCUCCUGGAUUCAGCGGCGGACGGGUGAGUAAUGCCUAGGAAUCUGCCUGGUAGUGGGGGAUAACGUCCGGAAACGGGCGCUAAUACCGCAUACGUCCUGAGGGAGAAAGUGGGGGAUCUUCGGACCUCACGCUAUCAGAUGAGCCUAGGUCGGAUUAGCUAGUUGGUGGGGUAAAGGCCUACCAAGGCGACGAUCCGUAACUGGUCUGAGAGGAUGAUCAGUCACACUGGAACUGAGACACGGUCCAGACUCCUACGGGAGGCAGCAGUGGGGAAUAUUGGACAGUGGGCGAAAGCCUGAUCCAGCCAUGCCGCGUGUGUGAAGAAGGUCUUCGGAUUGUAAAGCACUUUAAGUUGGGAGGAAGGGCAGUAAGUUAAUACCUUGCUGGUUUGACGUUACCAACAGAAUAAGCACCGGCUAACUUCGUG
This 484-nucleotide ribosomal RNA is filed under the name uncultured bacterium. RNAcentral describes it as "partial 16S ribosomal RNA". It matches the Rfam family "Bacterial small subunit ribosomal RNA", at positions 30 to 507 of the family's 1533-position model. The record is from RNAcentral.